AUUAGGCUUUCCAGGGGAUACUGUUAGACUUGGGACCGGGAGAGGUAAGAGGUACUGCAGGGGUAGGAGUGAAAUCUUGUAAUCCCUGUGAGACCACCAGUGGCGAAGGCGUCUUACCAGAACGGGUCCGACGGUGAGGGACGAAAGCUGGGGGCACGAACCGGAUUAGAUACCCGGGUAGUCCCAGCUGUAAACGAUGCUCGUUAGGUGUCAGGAACGGUGCGACUGUUUCUGGUGCCGAAGGGAAGCCGUGAAACGAGCCACCUGGGAAGUACGGCCGCAAGGCUGAAACUUAAAGGAAUUGGCGGGGGAGCACUACAACGGGUGGAGCCUGCGGUUUAAUUGGACUCAACGCCGGAAAACUCACCGGGGGCGACAGCAAUAUGUAGGUCAGGUUAAAGGUCUUACCUGAAUCGCUGAGAGGAGGUGCAUGGCCGUCGUCAGUUCGUACUGUGAAGCAUCCUGUUAAGUCAGGCAACGAGCAAGACCCGUGCCCACUGUUACCAGCAUAUCCUUUAUGGAUGAUGGGGACUCUGUGGGGACCGCUGCUGCUAAAGCAGAGGAAGGUGCGGGCUACGGUAGGUCAGUAUGCCCCGAAUCUCCCGGGCUACACGCGGGCUACAAUGGUUGGGACAAUGGGUAUCUACUCCGAAAGGAGUUGGCAAUCUCUUAAACCCAAUCGUAGUUCGAAUUGAGGGCUGUAACUCGCCCUCAUGAAGCUGGAAUCCGUAGUAAUCGCGUUUCAACAUAGCGCGG
This 756-nucleotide ribosomal RNA is filed under the name uncultured archaeon. RNAcentral describes it as "bacterial SSU rRNA". It matches the Rfam family "Archaeal small subunit ribosomal RNA", at positions 564 to 1318 of the family's 1478-position model. The record is from RNAcentral.